ACAUCAUAAUAGUAGCGCAUGUGUAUAAAUGGUGUGUCGCGACGUAUAUAUUUCCGAGUUGGACUCUUGUCAUUUAACAGACAGGAGAUAAAACAUUCCACGGUUGUAAAUGAGUUUAAAUGUUAAACGUUAAGAGCGGACACAUGUUGAUCAAGGCGAUAACGUUGUUUCACAUAAAAUCGAACUAUUAGUAACAACGUUUCAUCUUACGUGUGGUGCUGACAGUACAGGUGAAUACAAAUACAUUACCUGUAUUGUACAAAUGGUUUAGUUGGGAUAACACAACAUGACAGUGCCGUUGACAGUUGUCAUUGUUGGGGCCGUGUGCAGUGCCUUCGUGUUGUCAGUUAUAAUGUACAUCACGUGGAGGAGGUGCUACCGACAACGCCGGAAGUCGUCAACCUACGAACAAAUUGUCUCGGAACACAAGUCGUCCAACAUACUCGUCGAGAAUGCCACAGUCGUCCCUGCUGCCUCUGUCAGGUAUGCAUGCAACCUAUAGCAUUGUUAUCAGCCUGGUCACACGAUCGAUCAGAUCUAAAUACAUGUAUUAAUGUAUAUUCCAGACCAGUCACUCACUGUACUCCUUUCUACAUUUUAAUCGAGGAGGGGUUCAAGAGGUAAGGAGGAAGAUGGGCAAUUAAAAGACCGUUGAUACGCCCAUUAUCAUUAUAAUCACACAUUUUCUUAUAUCAUUUUUGACGUUCAUGGUUU
This 714-nucleotide unclassified non-coding RNA is filed under the name Mizuhopecten yessoensis (Yesso scallop). RNAcentral's name for it is "uncharacterized LOC110451524, transcript variant X2". The record is from RNAcentral. Lineage: Eukaryota; Metazoa; Mollusca; Bivalvia; Pectinida; Pectinidae.